AGAUCAUCAUUGUGACUUGCAAGCAACUUACUGUGCUUUGGUGCUAAACUAUCUGAAUUUCUAAUUCAAGAUUGAAAGAUUUUUGGAUACAGUCAAGUACUUGUGAAGUCGGUGCGUGAGUCAAGAUGAAAUUGACCACUCCAAGAGAUUGAAGAGAAUGCUUUGUAUUUCAAUUUAGUAAGACCUUGGCCAGGACAAUCCUUAUGAGGAGUCACAG
This 217-nucleotide long non-coding RNA is filed under the name Elaeis guineensis (African oil palm). Its description in RNAcentral is "long non-coding RNA (EGUI_LNC066451)". Lineage: Eukaryota; Viridiplantae; Streptophyta; Magnoliopsida; Arecales; Arecaceae. The record is from RNAcentral.